UACGUAGGGGGCGAGCGUUGUCCGGAUUUAUUGGGCGUAAAGAGCUCGUAGGCGGUUUGAUAAGUCGGAUGUGAAAUCUCCACGCUCAACGUGGAGGGGCCAUUCGAUACUGUCGUGACUCGAGUCCGGUAGGGGAGUGUGGAAUUCCCGGUGUAGCGGUGAAAUGCGCAGAGAUCGGGAGGAACACCCGUAGCGAAGGCGGCUCACUGGAGCUCUUCUGACGCUGAGGCACGAAAGCUAGGGUAGCGAACGGG
This 254-nucleotide ribosomal RNA is filed under the name uncultured bacterium. Its description in RNAcentral is "partial 16S ribosomal RNA". It matches the Rfam family "Bacterial small subunit ribosomal RNA", at positions 524 to 776 of the family's 1533-position model. The record is from RNAcentral.